RNAcentral lists this ribosomal RNA (254 nucleotides) under uncultured bacterium. RNAcentral describes it as "partial 16S ribosomal RNA". It matches the Rfam family "Bacterial small subunit ribosomal RNA", at positions 524 to 776 of the family's 1533-position model. The record is from RNAcentral.
GACGUAGGAUGCAAGCGUUGUCCGGAUUUAUUGGGCGUAAAGAGUUCGUAGGUGGUUCGUUAAGUCUGAUGUUAAAGACUGGGGCUCAACCCUGGAAGUGCAUUGGAUACUGGCGGACUUGAGUGUGGUAGAGGCAAUCGGAAUUCCAGGUGUAGCGGUGAAAUGCGUAGAUAUCUGGAAGAACACCGGUGGCGCAAGCGGAUUACUGGGCCAUAACUGACACUGAGGAACGAAAAGCUAGGGGAGCGAAUGGG